AACGCGAAGAACCUUACCUGGGCUUGAACCGCUACUGACCAAGGGUAGAAAUAUCCUCUUCCCGCAAGGGACAGUAGUAGAGGUGCUGCAUGGCUGUCGUCAGCUCGUGCCGUGAGGUGUUGGGUUAAGUCCCGCAACGAGCGCAACCCUUACUCGUAGUUGCCACCCGCAAGGGGGAACUCUACGAGGACUGCUCCGGAUAACGGAGAGGAAGGUGGGGAUGACGUCAAGUCAGCACGGCCUUUAUGUCCAGGGCUACACACGUGUUACAAUGGGCGGUACAAAGCGCUGCCAACCCGCGAGGGGGAGCUAAUCGCCAAAAACCGUCCUCAGUUCGGAUUGCAGGCUGCAACUCGCCUGCAUGAAGCUGGAAUCGCUAGUAAUGCUAUAUCAGAACGAUAGCGUGAAUACGUUCCCGGGCCUUGUACACACCGGACAUA
This 440-nucleotide ribosomal RNA is filed under the name uncultured bacterium. RNAcentral describes it as "bacterial SSU rRNA". It matches the Rfam family "Bacterial small subunit ribosomal RNA", at positions 958 to 1398 of the family's 1533-position model. The record is from RNAcentral.